AUUGAACGCUGGCGGCAGGCCUAACACAUGCAAGUAGAGCGAGCGGAGGAGGGGUGAGUAAUGUAUGGGGACUGCCCGAUAGAGGGGGAUAACUACUGGAACCGGUGGCUCAUACCGCAUACUUCCGGCGGACCCAUAUGGGAUUAGCUAGUAGGUAAGGUAAUGGUUUACCUAGGCGACGAUCCCUAGCUGGUCUGAGAGGAUGAUCAGCCACACUGGGACUGUGACACGGCCCAGACUCCUACGGAGGCAGCAGUGGGGAAUAUUGCACAAUGGGCGCAAGCCUGAUGCAGCCAUGCCGCGUGUAUGAAGAAGGCCCUAGGGUUGUAAAGUACUUUCAGUCGGGAGGCGUUACCGACAGAAGAAGCACCGGCUAACUCCGUGCCAGCAGCCGCGGUAAUAC
This 403-nucleotide ribosomal RNA is filed under the name uncultured bacterium. Its description in RNAcentral is "partial 16S ribosomal RNA". It matches the Rfam family "Bacterial small subunit ribosomal RNA", at positions 30 to 526 of the family's 1533-position model. The record is from RNAcentral.